Molecule: ribosomal RNA, 637 nt
Filed under: Pseudomonas sp. T47821UB09_16S_27f
Lineage: Bacteria; Pseudomonadati; Pseudomonadota; Gammaproteobacteria; Pseudomonadales; Pseudomonadaceae
Description: bacterial SSU rRNA
Rfam family: Bacterial small subunit ribosomal RNA
Source: RNAcentral
GCUANANAUGCAGUCGAGCGGNAGNACGGGUACUUGUACCUGGUGGCGAGCGGCGGACGGGUGAGUAAUGCCUAGGAAUCUGCCUGGUAGUGGGGGAUAACGCUCGGAAACGGACGCUAAUACCGCAUACGUCCUACGGGAGAAAGCAGGGGACCUUCGGGCCUUGCGCUAUCAGAUGAGCCUAGGUCGGAUUAGCUAGUUGGUGAGGUAAUGGCUCACCAAGGCGACGAUCCGUAACUGGUCUGAGAGGAUGAUCAGUCACACUGGAACUGAGACACGGUCCAGACUCCUACGGGAGGCAGCAGUGGGGAAUAUUGGACAAUGGGCGAAAGCCUGAUCCAGCCAUGCCGCGUGUGUGAAGAAGGUCUUCGGAUUGUAAAGCACUUUAAGUUGGGAGGAAGGGCAGUUACCUAAUACGUAUCUGUUUUGACGUUACCGACAGAAUAAGCACCGGCUAACUCUGUGCCAGCAGCCGCGGUAAUACAGAGGGUGCAAGCGUUAAUCGGAAUUACUGGGCGUAAAGCGCGCGUAGGUGGUUUGUUAAGUUGGAUGUGAAAUCCCCGGGCUCAACCUGGGAACUGCAUUCAAAACUGACAAGCUAGAGUAUGGUAGAGGGUGGUGGAAUUUCCUGUGUNNC